GGUUGUAGCUCAAUGGUCAGUGCACCCGCUGUUGAGCGAGAGGUCUCGGGUUCGACCCCCCAAACCC
Molecule: transfer RNA, 67 nt
Filed under: Hordeum vulgare
Lineage: Eukaryota; Viridiplantae; Streptophyta; Magnoliopsida; Poales; Poaceae
Description: tRNA-OTHER
Source: RNAcentral